UAGACGACAAGCGCAAGAACUGAACAAAAACCACUUAACUUUUCAUUAUUUGUUUUUAUUAUACAUUAUAAUGUUUAACUGUACGUUGUAAAUAUAAAUUAAAUAUGCCUAAGCAGUGUUAUUAAUUGGCAAAUCAUCUUGUCUAUUUCACAUUUUUACACUUUUAGGUUGCUCUCUUUUUGCUCACUACUGCAAUUUAUUUUGCCUUCUUUUUUACUUGCUACUAAAUGAAACUCUAUUUUUAUAUGAAAAAUAGAAGAAAUACUUCCACAUCGAGAAACCUAUCCCUAAAUAAGUAAAAUUAGAAAAUCAUUCCAAAAAAUAGGAAUUGCGACGAAAAUUGCAAGGCUAGUUCCCUCAACUUUGAUUCGUCUCCAAACUUUAAAUUGACUUUUAAGGCUGGUGACAUUGAAGAUUUAAUUCAAAUUUGAGGAUGAAUCAGCGUGAGAUAUCGAACAUUGAGGACUAUCCUGAUUCACAACAUCCUUAAUAUAUCUAGUUGUAACACCGGCGUAAAUCACUCAGGUAUAUAUAAUAUUUUAAGUGAGAAAUUCCUAAUUUAGCAAAACGACAACGGACAAGUUUGCUAUAAAUGAAUAACUCAAGGUUAUUUCUGUCAAUACCAAAAAACGCUGCAGAGUUAAAUAAAGCCACUGUCCACUCCUUUCACCAACCCAAAACCUCCACAAAACUCCAUAUAUAGCCAUUUUCUGUUCCUCUGUAUUCCAUCAUCUUCAUAUCUGUACAGAUAUAUACAUAGAGAGAUAGAGAGAAUAUUGAAGUACCGACGAACAGGUCACAUUUCUAAUGAAAUACACAAGACGAUUAUUUAUUGGUAUAGACUCGGCCACAUUAGAAUUAUGAACCUUUAAUACAUUCUUGUUCCCCCUUUUUUUCAAGAGAAUAGGAUUAUCCAUUACUCUUCUCGUUAUUUGAUAUUAAUUUGGAUUUCCAGUAAUUUCCUACAGUUUUUAGCAAUUUGAUAGUAGAUCGUUUAAUCUCUGAGUAACCCAAUUCAUUUUGAUUUCUAGUAAUUGUAGGCCUUUUAAAUUUCACAAUUUUCAGUAGUAUUUUGGACGAAAAUCGAUUGUAUCAAAUCUGACUCUGCUGAUUUAUGGAAAUCUUGAAGUGCGUUCUAUUGUUCUUCACAUACUUAAUUUGAAACCAUUGAGCCUUUAGAUUCGUGUUUUCGUAUAUAUUGGACUAUAUUUGGACAUAAUUUUUAGGAAAUUACAGUUCAAAAUCCCUUGCAGAGUGUUUGGGUAAUUGGGUUGGUGCAGAUGGGAAGAUCAUUACUUUAUGAGAUAUGGGAAAAACCAGCUACAAGUUGUAUAAUAGGACUAUGUAAUGCAAUAUGGUUCUAUAUACAGAAGAAGAACAUUGGGUAUUCACAUGUGGAUUUAAGUUAUGAUACUGCAGUGUAAGGUCACCACUGGAGGAUAAUAACAUCAGCUUAUCACAUAUUGGCGUUCUUCAUUAUUCAUUAGUAUUGAUUGUUUUGUCAGGAAUGCUAGUUCUGGGGACAUACUAUGUUUUGAUCCAAAAGUUCAAGAUAGACUAUUUUAGGAGUGAUUGCAGUCGGGUAUUCUUUUGGGUGGAUGACAAUUUUGUCGGUGAAAUGGACUUCAUCUAAGUUGAAUCUCGUUUGAUUUCUCUAUAAGUUUUGCUCCAUUUGAGUUUCUCAUCUUUACGUCUAUAAUUGUUCCCCAAGCGAGUUUCCGGUGACAGAUUCUUCCAUACCAUCUGUGUAUUUCUUAGCUUCAGGGAACGAUAAAACCUUGCAGAUGAGCACAUUGCCAUAUUUCAGUACUAUCUUAUCUUGCUUGUGGGAGAAAUAUUGUUCUACCAUGUGCAUUUGUACUUAAAUACUUCGGAUUUAUCGGGUCAUUUAACAAAUGUUGUGAUAAGGUGUCGCUUCUGGGAGGCUACUUUUACUGCUUUUUAGAUUAGCAUAAAUCUCAAACGUCUUAUGACACCGUAUGGAAGAGUCACCCCAGCUGCUGAAACGUUGUUUGUAUUAUAAACUAAGUCUCACUCCAUAUAAAUUUGGGAUCAACUACUUGUGUCGUUUUUGUCCUCUUCAUUCAUUCAUUCGAUAUGCAUAAACCUAGCAAUUGUUCUUCAGUCUUA
This 2130-nucleotide long non-coding RNA is filed under the name Olea europaea subsp. europaea. Lineage: Eukaryota; Viridiplantae; Streptophyta; Magnoliopsida; Lamiales; Oleaceae. The record is from RNAcentral.